GGGACUGUGAUUUCAUGAGCUGUGCCAUUGCCCUCACAAAAAAAUCUUUAAUACGUGGUGUUUUGUUUUUCAGACAUUCCCACUGGCAGAUCAUCUUGAUGCAGUGUGCAACAUCAACUCUGACAAAACAAGGAGGCAGUUUUGCAGAUUGGUUCCCUAGUAGGACACCAAAGCACUCAUUGAUACAACAUCUGGACCACUGGGACACUGGAGCUGUUGGAUCCUGUCAGGACGCCUUGGUAGAGGAAUAUGUGGCCAGAUGAGCCAUUUGGUCUCACCAGUUUUUUCACCACUGAGCCAGUUGCGUCAAAACACACUGUCUGGGUAGCCAAAUUUGGAAGAUGGCCUGGCUCAGGAUCUCCAAAAUCCAUCAGCGUGGUUGCUUGGGAUGCCCGCCAUACAUGGGGUUCCUUCCUGCCUCACACAGUUCUGUGGCUACUUGCUCACGCAAAUGUCCAGACAGGAAACGUUUACAAUGACCUGUGUGCUUGGACUCGUCAAUGUUUUUUAUAUUGCACUUGAGGACCAUUGGGCCGUUUAGUGCAGGCUCUUUUUCACUUUUGAUAUCAAGCUGGCUUUGACACUCUUUGCAGUAGCCUUUUAUGACAAUGUAAUUUGUGGCCUGUGAAGGAUACACCUUGACUCUCUUAAAAAUAAAUGUGCAUGGGCUUUUAACCUGUUUCCACAUGUACUCAUUUAUAGUAUGAGUCCAGAUUCCAGGUUUCAAAAUUGUGUAGCCCCUUUUAUUAUUUGAAGAAGUUUGGUCCUUAUAUUCCACCUCUUCAGGUAUGAACUGAACCCAUUUGUCAAAUGGAACUUCUAAUUGAAAUUCCUGAUUGUGUUCUUGUCCCGGAGGAGAAAGGGAACCUGACUCGGAUGAUUCUGUGUCACUGUUUUCUUCAUCCUUGGUCUGAAUAUUUAACCCUAACACUGACCAGACAUUGAGUCUGUUUAAUUUAACAAUCGAAUACAGGGCCUUUGCAGAUAUUUUUUUUCCAAGAUGCUCGCUCAGCUCAGUCCAGACUCUGGCCUUAGGAGUGUCUAUGUUUCCCUUCUCCAGCACUAUGGCUUCCUUUGAGGAGUAGAGAACUUUCAUGAGGGAAUCUCUGCCUACUGCUGGUUCUUUGGGCAUCUAGUUUAAAGAGAAAUGUACUAUUAGUAUAAAUCAAUUUAAUAUUUUAACUCAUUUAGAACCAGGUAAAUAACAUGGUAUGGAAUAUAAAUAUAAGACACAUGUAAGAGGAUGCUUGAUAAGGUUGUAGGAA
This is a long non-coding RNA of Cololabis saira (Pacific saury), 1265 nucleotides long. RefSeq lists it as uncharacterized. NCBI's taxonomy places the organism in Eukaryota, Metazoa, Chordata, Actinopteri, Beloniformes, Belonidae. The record is from RefSeq and is a predicted model, not a curated record. The transcript is spliced from 3 exons.